UACAGAGGUCUUAAGCGUUGUUCGGAUUCAUUGGGCGUAAAGGGUGCGUAGGUGGCGUCGUAAGUCGGGUGUGAAGUUUCGGAGCUUAACUCCGAAACUGCAUUCGAUACUGCGGUGCUUGAGGACUGGAGAGGAGACUGGAAUUUACGGUGUAGCAGUGAAAUGCGUAGAGAUCGUAAGGAAGACCAGUGGCGAAGGCGGGUCUCUGGACAGUUCCUGACACUGAGGCACGAAGGCCAGGGGAGCAAACGGG
This 253-nucleotide ribosomal RNA is filed under the name uncultured bacterium. Its description in RNAcentral is "partial 16S ribosomal RNA". It matches the Rfam family "Bacterial small subunit ribosomal RNA", at positions 524 to 776 of the family's 1533-position model. The record is from RNAcentral.